CCUACGGGUGGCAGCAGUGAGGAAUAUUGGUCAAUGGUCGGGAGACUGAACCAGCCAAGUCGCGUGCGGGAUGAAGGUACAGAGUAUCGUAAACCUCUUUUGUCAGGGAACAAAGGCGGGGACGUGUCCCCGGAUGAGUGUACCUGAUGAAAAAGCAUCGGCUAACUCCGUGCCGGCAGCCGCGGUAAUACGGAGGAUGCGAGCGUUAUCCGGUUUUAUUGGGUUUAAGGGGUGCGCAGGCGGUCUUUUAAGUCAGCGGUAAAAGCCUGGGGGUCAACCCCGGCCCGCCGUUGAAACUGGCAGUCUCGAGUUGGAGAGAAGUAUGCGGAAUGCGCGGUGUAGCGGUGAAAUGCAUAGAUAUCGCGCAGAACUCCGAGUGCGAAGGCAGCAUGCCGGCUCCACACUGACGCUGAGGCACGAAAGCGUGGGUAUCGAACAGGAUUAGAUACCCCUGUAGUC
This 459-nucleotide ribosomal RNA is filed under the name uncultured bacterium. RNAcentral's name for it is "partial 16S ribosomal RNA". It matches the Rfam family "Bacterial small subunit ribosomal RNA", at positions 338 to 795 of the family's 1533-position model. The record is from RNAcentral.